RNAcentral lists this unclassified non-coding RNA (198 nucleotides) under uncultured fungus. Its description in RNAcentral is "sequence contains ITS1". The record is from RNAcentral. Lineage: Eukaryota; Fungi.
UUAAACUAUUAUAUAGUACUCGGACGGCACGGUUAAUAACAGUGUUUUGGGGCCUCUGGCGGGCACACACCAGCGAGUCGCCGGUGGCCUAGACGGUCGGCCCGCCAAAGCAACAUAAGGUAAGAUAAACAGGGUGGGAGAUCUACCCCGAAGGGCAUGAACUCGGUAAUGAUCCUUCCGCAGGUUCACCUACGGAAA